GUGGGGAAUAUUGGACAAUGGGCGAAAGCCUGAUCCAGCAAUGCCGCGUGAGUGAUGAAGGCCUUAGGGUUGUAAAGCUCUUUUACCCGGGAUGAUAAUGACAGUACCGGGAGAAUAAGCCCCGGCUAACUCCGUGCCAGCAGCCGCGGUAAUACGGAGGGGGCUAGCGUUGUUCGGAAUUACUGGGCGUAAAGCGCACGUAGGCGGUUAUUCAAGUCAGAGUUGAAAGCCCGGAGCUCAAAUCCGGAAUUGCCUUUGAAACUAGAUAACUUGAACACGUGAGAGGUGGUUGGAAUUCCGAGUGUAGAGGUGAAAUUCGUAGAUAUUCGGAAGAACACCAGUGGCGAAGGCGGCUCACUGGACCGUUGUUGACGCUGAGGUGCGAAAGCGUGGGGAGCAAACAGGAUUAGAAACCCCUGUAGUCC
Molecule: ribosomal RNA, 425 nt
Filed under: uncultured bacterium
Lineage: Bacteria
Description: partial 16S ribosomal RNA
Rfam family: Bacterial small subunit ribosomal RNA
Source: RNAcentral